CGCUGACGAUGAGACCACACAAAUGCCCGACAAGCUGCCUCCGCGUUCAAUGAGACCGUCAGUGGCUGGAUAAGAAGA
Arvicanthis niloticus (Nile rat) is the source of this 78-nucleotide non-coding RNA. The record is from RefSeq and is a predicted model, not a curated record. NCBI's taxonomy places the organism in Eukaryota, Metazoa, Chordata, Mammalia, Rodentia, Muridae.